AGAGGUAGAGGAGCAAUUAUUAAGAGUAAUUAAAUGGAGCAGAAGUGUUUAGAUAUUUAAUGAAAGGGGUAAUUGCCGAAGUUUUAUAAGUAUACUAAAGGCUUAUAAUUCUGGUUUUAUAUAUAAGAUAUGUAAGACUGUCACAUUGUUUGUGGAGUGCUAUC
RNAcentral lists this non-coding RNA (164 nucleotides) under uncultured Clostridium sp. RNAcentral's name for it is "Lysine riboswitch". It matches the Rfam family "Lysine riboswitch aptamer". From Rfam's summary of the family: Riboswitches are metabolite binding domains within certain messenger RNAs that serve as precision sensors for their corresponding targets. Allosteric rearrangement of mRNA structure is mediated by ligand binding, and this results in modulation of gene expression. The record is from RNAcentral. Lineage: Bacteria; Bacillati; Bacillota; Clostridia; Eubacteriales; Clostridiaceae.